UAAGAGCAGCUGCCCAGUGUUGGGCGGCUUUGAGUACCUUUCAGCACCUGCGGGUUGGAGGGAACGCUGCUUGCAGCUUUCUGUCGGCACGUCUCCGUCCGUCCUUACCCGCGUUAUCCUAAACCCGGUCGCCGACAGCAACCUUCCUCCGCGAGCCCGCGUCUGAGGCACUGCCGGAGGCUAGAGGCGGCCCGCCGGGUUCCUGUCUGGCCCUCGACCCCAGCGCCCGCGGAGCCCGCCGCCCGCGGCCUCAGCGGGACGAUGCUGGAGUCCAUUCGCGUGACGGAAAAGCUUCACUGGCCUGAGCAAGAACUUGCUAAGAAGUCUAUUCUAAAUGCAGAAGAGUCCUUGAUUAUUGGCAGCAAAGGAAGCAUUUCACAUUUAUCUCCUGGAAUACUAAAGGACAUUUUCACAACUGGAACCAGUAGUUACAAUGUCCUACUACAGAGCAAAGAGGAGAAAAAGCAUCAUUCACAAAAACAGUCUUCCUCCACCUACUCCAAAAGAUGUAGAAAACCCAGCAAAUCUAGCUCUUCACGUAGUAAAGAUCUUCGCAAGAUGAAAGCCCCAGUGCCUGUGAUGAGCAGUGAUACUUGGUACUGCCUAGAAAGGCAGCCUGCUGUUUUUGUCACUAGUUCAGUGUCAAGUCCUGUAAAGUUUACACAUGAUAUCUCUGUUACAGGAAACAGCACAGUACUGCCACCUAAACCCAAAAAUGAAAGAAAGGUCAAGCGACGCCACUUCUCCACUCUUCCAAAGCCAAAGGUGCAGCCUCAGCUGUCUAGAAGUUUUGAAAAAGGAGAUGACUUUUCUGGAAAGAAAUUUUGUAUACUGAGUGCUAUAAAGCCCACCAACUUGGAGAAAGAAAAAGUGAGAUUCUUUAAGUCUGACUAUACCUACAAUCCUCAGUUUGAAUAUGCUAAUCCUUCUCUGCCAAGUGUGUUAGCCAAGCACAGCAACGCAACUGACCGGUUUCUUAAGCAGUCCAUCAAUAUUAUGGAACUGACUUUACAAAAGUAUGGAAGCUAUGAAAAAUUUGAACAGGCCACCGGUGGUAGCCUGCUAUCUAAAACUCGAAUCUGGAGUCAUGUUAGGAAAUACAUGAUGAAAGAAGGCUGCAUGGGUGAGAUUGUAGUUCACCUCACUGAGGACCUGCUUUCCCGAGCUUCCAUGACAGUAGUAAAUGGAUGUCCAACACUGACCAUCAAUGUUUGCACUGCACGUGAGCAUUGGCUGGAAGGAAUGCUGAGGCAUGAAAUAGGCACACAUUAUUUUCGAGGUAUUAACAACCUUCAACAGCCAUGGAACAGUUGGACUGGCCGUAAAAAACAUGACCUAAAGCCAAACAAUCCCACAGAGGAAGGACUGGCAAGUAUUCACAGUGUCCUGUUUAGAAAAGACCCCUUUUUAUGGAGGGCUGCCCUCCUCUACUACACUGUUUAUCGAGCCAGCCACAUGUCUUUUUGUGCAUUAUUCAAAGACAUUGGAAAGUUUGUCAAGGACCCCAAUACAAGAUGGGAUUAUUGUGUACGAGCCAAGAGGGGAUGGACUGAUACCUCCCAACCAGGUGCGGACUCAGCGGGGGCCAUGCACACUCACUCUGGCUGGGGCUCACGAUCCCCUCUCUCCGUUUGGCUCCUGCAGGAGCCGGGUUCGGCUGCGGUGAGCACAGUGCAAGUGGGCGGCUCCGCGCCUGGCUCACUGGCUGCGGGACUGGGGUGUUUCAGUAAAGACCAGGUAUACUUGGAUGGUAUCCUGCAAAUCCUCCGAUAUAGAGAGACCAUUGACUUUCAUCUACUUACGGCCCUGGGGAAGGUCUCUUAUGAAGAUGUGGAUCGCUUAAAAGGAUUGGCAGUUACUGAAAACAUGAGGGUCCCUCACUUUCUGCAGGACCAUGGCCGAUAUAUGGAACACUUAGAGAAGAUCAUGGAAGUGAAUGAACUGACUGACAGGGAACUGAAAGAUCUUAUAUAUUAAUUAGCAUUCUUGCAAACAUAGCUAAGCUAUACCUCUAUGUAUAUUACCAAUUAGGUGCAGUUAGCACCAGCAGAUUUAUAAAAGAAGAAUGACUGUUUACAUGAGUUUUCUGAAGAAUGGUCUGCAGUAUUCAGCUGAAUAUUUAGGUUAAGAACAAAUUUUAAACUGUUUCCCUAAAAUGUUUCUAUAGGCUACAGGGGAAAGUUACUCCUGUUUUCAUCUGAAUCUCAACAGAGUCAGAUGAAAAUACUGCUGAUGGGUGUUUUUGAGGAAUCUUGGUCAAAUUGAGUGAUAAACUUCUGCCUGAGAACCAAGACCAGCUCUUACUAGAGAUGGAAUUCCUGUGUUGUUCAAACUUCAAGAACCAACUGAGGAGCAGAAUCUGUGCUGAGUGUCAGAGGUCCUCUGAUGAAGACAAGAAAUGUUCCACAGUCCAGUGAGGAAGAGUGGCACACACCCAGGUUACAGCACUGCCAGUACCAUACCCAAAAAGUGUUACCAAAAGAAUGUAAACCAUAGUAAAUGGGCCUGUUCAUGUGUUUGAAGCACACAGACAAAGAUCACUUGCAAAGUAGUGAGUAUUUACAGUAUUUUAUUACCACUCUUUGCGAGGCUUGUUUGGAACCUGAGCAACUUAGCCUAGGGGAAGGAGUAGACCAAGAAUACAGUUGCUUGGGUCAUCACAGGCCCUGAGGAGCUCCUUUGAGCCCUUCAGCAGAUGCGCAAGGGAGUCAGCACUUUAUCCUUAAGUGUCUUGGUCUUUGAAUUCAAACCUUUAUGACACUUGUGAAAACCUUGUCAGCUGGCUAUGAUUUCAUUCAUUUUUGUUCACUCUGAUUCUAGUGGCUAAAGGAAUUAAUAGCUUGAAACUGCCAGGAUGAGAAAUACCAGUGUUUGUUAGCUAGCUUUAAGAAUAUGUGGAAUUUCAAGUAUGCAGAGGGAAAAGCACAUGAAGAGGAAGCAAGAGGGCAGCCAUCUGCAAGCCAAGGAGAGAGGCCCCAAACAGAUCCUUCCCUUAUGGUUCUCAGGAAAAAUCAAGCUUUCCAACACCUUGAUCUUGAACUUCUAGCCUUCAGAACUGAAAAGAAUUGUACCUAAAAGAGGACGAAGCAAAGAGCAGAAAUCUGACCACUAAGAGAUUACUGAGCAUUCAUUUCUUCCCAGCUAUCCAAUUAUCCUAACAAAAGAUGACCAGCUUCAGAAGUGACAUCAGCAUGGCUGAAAAAGCUUCCCCUCAUUUGUGUCCUCUACCCACAGCAAUUUGGUAUCCAUAUACAGACAGAAAUGACCUGGUGGGAGCUUAGGGAUCCAACACCAAGCAACUUUGUAGGAAUCACCAGGCAACCUGGUAGGAAUCUUUCCUGCCCAUGCAUUGGCUUAUAGGCAUACAGACCUAGGUCCUGGCAUGGACCCUGCAGUGGCCUGUGAACCAGCUCCAGGCCCUCUCAGCUGCAGUGUGGAGACCCUUGGAAAGUAUUAUCUUAGGCAAUCACCCACAGACAAGAGCACCUUUGUGAAAGUCUGGGUUUCCAGUGGAGAAUUUUCAGCACAUUUUUGGAGCAAUAAAUGAGUUUAGAUGCUUUGAAGAGGAACAGUUUGAUUUUAUCCUCAUUAUCCUUCCCUCAAGGUGGCACAGUUCAGGGCCAAGAGAGACCUUCUCAGCCCGUGAUUUCUCCUGGAGGGGAAAAUGCAAGUGACUGAGUACCCAGCUUCUCCAACUAUGUGGGAAGCCACCAGAGAGGCCCAUUUCUCUCUUGCCUCAUCCAGACUACUGAAUCUUGAGCUGCAUGAUGAGGGGGUGGGAAGGUGCUAGGAGAAUAGCAGAUAGGACUCUUGGAGGGCAUUAAAGAGUCACAGAGCCUACUAACUCACAGUCCCAUCAAGAAGCUAGCCCACAUGGCACUGGGGACACCUUACCUGUGGGUCUCCCUGACCAGCCCAUGGGAACCAGUAGUGCUCCAUGUGCCUCACCCACACACAUCCCCCACCCUGUGGCUUCCUGUCUCACUCCUGGUAGCAUCAAGAGCAAGCUUUGGCAGACGGCUAGUGAACAUGCAAAAAAAGCCAAACUGAAUCUGCAGGCCCAAGGGAGACCACAAAUGUGAGCUUUAGCCCCACACUUGGGAAAGCAGAAGGGAGAUCGUCAGCACCUAACCUUUUGCAUUGCAGACUCAAGAGAAGAUAUACAAGCUUAAGGAUUCUGCCAUAAGAGGCCAAGAAGUGUGGAGCAGGCUUACCCAUAGCUGAUCUGAGGAAGCCUCAGAAUCUCUAGCAGGGAUGACUGAAGUUACAUCUCUGCUGAAGCAGUUAGUAAAGACUAGAGGAAGCAACUGCUAUUUCAGAUACAAAGACAACAAAGCAAAACUUAAGAAAACAUGACACUACCAAAGGAUUAUGAUAAUCUUCCAGUAAUUGAUUCCAAAGACAUGGAGAUCUGUGAUUUACCUGAUAAAGAAUGAAAAAUAACUGUUUAAGGAAGCUCAGUGAACUACAAGAAUAGACAAUUUGAUGAAAUCAAGAAAAUACGUGAAUAAAAUGAGCAGUUUAACAAAGAAAAAUCAUAAAGGACCAAACAGAAAUUCUGAAGUAGAAAAAUACAGUGAAUGAAAUGAAAAAUAUAGUAGCAUCAAUAUCAGAAUGUGUCAAUCAGAAGAAAGAAUCUGUGAGGUAGAAGAUGGGAGCUUUGAGAUUAUUCAAUCAGAGGAAAACAAUGAAAAAGGAUAAUGAAAGCCUAUGUGAUCUAUGGGAUACAAUCAACAGAAACAACUUGCAAAUUAUUAGAGUUUCAGAGGGAGAAGGGGGCAGACAGCUUAUUAAAGAAAUAAUGGCUGAGAACUUCCCAAAUCUGAGGGAAAAUUUGGAUAUCCAAGUUCUUAAGGUCACCAAACUCAAAGAGAUCCUCUUCAAGACAUGCUAUAAUAAAACUAUAAAAGACAAAGAGAAUCUUAAAAGCAGCAAGAGAAAAGUUUGUAACUUAAAAGGAACCCUCCAUACUGUUAUUAGCAGAUUUCUCAGUGAAAACCUUACAGGCCAGGAGGCAGUGGGGUGAUAUAUUCAAAGUGCUGAGAGAAAACUGCCAACCAAGAAUACUCUGGCAAAGUUUUCCAUCAGAAAUGAAGGAGAGAGAAAGACUUGCCCACACAGACUAAAGCUGAGAGAGUUCAUUACCACUAGAUCUGCCUUCCAAGAGGUGCUUCCAAGCACAAUCUCAAAAGGAUGUUUUUGAUAAGUUGAUUUUAGAGCUCUAUUAGGAAAUACAUGAAAAUGUUAAAAGCAUAUAUAUCCUUAACCCAACAAUUUCAAAGUAAGUACACACACACUAUCACACACUUAUUCAUCAUAUAUACAUUGCACACAUAUGCAAAAAUAUAUGUACACAUAUAUCUUUGUGCAAAGAUAUGUAUCUUUGCACUGCAACAUUGUGGUAAAAAUAGAGUGGAAGCAACCUUAAAAUUCAUUAGCAAGGAACUAGUUAGAUGACAUAUUUAUAUGUUAAAACUAUAUAGCCUAUUUAAAAAUAAAGUAGGCCUGUACAUAUUGAUUUAGAUUCUACAUCAUUGUAGAACAAUCUCCAAAAUCUAUUGUUAAGUAAAAAGCAUGUUUCAGAAUGGUGUUUGAAGUCAGUUUCUAUUUGAUUUUUUAAAAGGGUGGGGGGAUGGUAUGUGUAUGUACAUGUACACUUGUAUAGUCACAGAACAUCUCUGGUAGGCUACAUGAGAUACAGGUAAGAGUGGUGACAUUGAAGGACUAGGAGUCAGGAGUAAGAAACUCACUUUUACUCCAUACUAUUUUUAUUUGACUUUACUAUAUGCACAUAUGGUCUUUAAAUCUUUCUUGCAUUUUUGAGUUCAUGUUUAUUGUUUUAUUCAGUGUGUUA
This is an RNA transcript of Globicephala melas (long-finned pilot whale), 5854 nucleotides long. It is a transcript of the gene named microtubule associated tyrosine carboxypeptidase 2, with no coding region annotated. NCBI's taxonomy places the organism in Eukaryota, Metazoa, Chordata, Mammalia, Artiodactyla, Delphinidae. The record is from RefSeq and is a predicted model, not a curated record.